Molecule: long non-coding RNA, 1085 nt
Organism: Tachyglossus aculeatus (Australian echidna)
Lineage: Eukaryota; Metazoa; Chordata; Mammalia; Monotremata; Tachyglossidae
Exons: 8
Source: RefSeq, a predicted model, not a curated record
GAAGGACUUGUCUGCUGAAUAGAAGCUCAGCAAAUUCUAUUCAAUUUGGACUCAAGCAAGCAGCAUGGCCAACAAGUAAAUAAGCACUUCCAAUGGAGUCCUACUUCUUAUCCUACCCAUGGAACCUUGGUUUGUUGACUGAGAGAGCAUUUCAGAUAAUCUCACCUGCCAUCCCAAUCCCCAUUUCUGAUGGGUGACAUUAAAGAAGUUCCCUGAAUCCAGGCUGAAGCAGUAGGGAGUGCUAGUACAGCAUCCCUGGACAUGUCAAUCACUUGGAUUUGAGGCCAAUCAACACCUACUUUCUUAUUCUCCGUUCAAGUGAUAAAACAUACCAGCCAGGUGUUUCUAAAAAAAUAUAUUGAUGAGCUGAAGACUUCAAGCCUCCUAAUAACUUGGUCCUACAAAAGUCCUAAAUUGACUCUUGAUGAAGAUUGGUGCAAAGAUACUUCUGCACCUGGUAAGUACCGCAUAGAUUGCCAUUUAUACACGUGCUUGGAAAAAACAAAACUUUCCCCUGGAUUUUUCAAUUCUCUGAUGUGCACCUGACUCCUAAGGGACACUUUAAAUGAUAUUCUCCAGGAAUGAAAAGUAAGACAACAAAAUAAUUACACUCCCGGGCUGAAACUCUACCUCCUCAACAAUAAAAAAAUCCUAUGGAAGUGUUAAAAGCUUGCCCACAGAGCUCCUUGAAAAACAGUUGAUGGUCAGUCUUGGGAAGGUCACACCACUUCUCAGCCUAGUGGAGCUGCCCUGGCGUCUGGUAAAAGUGAUCCAGUCUUGUCUCAUCCUGUUUGAUGGUCAGCAACUCAGAUCAUCUAUUAUUUUGGAAUUCUGAGGUGAAAUAAGGAGGUGCUGAUGACUCUUGUGGAUCCAUUGACUCUCUCUGCUAUCGGAAGAAUAAAGUAAAAGACUCUCAAAAACUCGCAUUUUGCUACAACAGGCAUUUAACCAACUAUAAAACCAAGAAAGGAAAAAUGAAGAUGAAAAAAGAACUUGCACACCCUGCUCCUUUUCACAUUAUUCUUUUCACACUAAAUGCUCAUCCAUGAUGAUGAUGACAAAAAUAAUCACAGUCUUUACUAUUA